AUACGUAGGUGGCAAGCGUUGUCCGGAAUUAUUGGGCGUAAAGCGCAUGUAGGCGGUGCCUUAAGUCUGUCGUGAAACUGCGGGGCCUAACACCGUAUGGCGAUGGAAACUGGGGUACUUGAGUGCAGGAGAGGAAAGGGGAACUCCCAGUGUAGCGGUGAAAUGCGUAGAUAUUGGGAAGACCACCGGUGGCGAAGGCGCCUUUCUGGACUGUGUCUGACGCUGAGAUGCGAAAGCCAGGGUAGCGAACGGGAUUAGAUACCCCGGUAGUCCUGGCCGUAAUCGAUGGGUACUAGGUGUGUGAGGUAUCGACCCCUUCCGUGCCGGAGUUAACGCAAUAAGUACCCCACCCGGGGAGUACGGCCGCAAGGCUUAAACUCAAAUGAAUUGACUGGG
This 396-nucleotide ribosomal RNA is filed under the name uncultured bacterium. Its description in RNAcentral is "partial 16S ribosomal RNA". It matches the Rfam family "Bacterial small subunit ribosomal RNA", at positions 523 to 918 of the family's 1533-position model. The record is from RNAcentral.